Molecule: ribosomal RNA, 509 nt
Filed under: uncultured Entrophospora
Lineage: Eukaryota; Fungi; Glomeromycota; Glomeromycetes; Entrophosporales; Entrophosporaceae
Description: SSU rRNA
Rfam family: Eukaryotic small subunit ribosomal RNA
Source: RNAcentral
AGCAGCCGCGGUAAUUCCAGCUCCAAUAGCGUAUAUUAAAGUUGUUGCAGUUAAAAAGCUCGUAGUUGAAUUUCGGGAUUGACGUGAUGGUCGUGCCUUAAGGGGUAUGAACUGUUGCUGUUGAUUUCUCCCCUUCUGGAGAAACUUGAUGUCCUUAAUUGGGUGUCUUGCGGAUCCAGGACCUUUACCUUGAAAAAAUUAGAGUGUUUAAAGCAGGCAUUUUGCUCGAAUACAUUAGCAUGGAAUAAUAGAAUAGGACGGCAUGGUUCUAUUUUGUUGGUUUCUAGGAUCACCGUAAUGAUUAAUAGGGAUAGUUGGGGGCAUUAGUAUUCAAUUGUCAGAGGUGAAAUUCUUGGAUUUAUUGAAGACUAACUACUGCGAAAGCAUUUGCCAAGGAUGUUUUCAUUAAUCAAGAACGAAAGUUAAGGGAUCGAAGACGAUCAGAUACCGUCGUAGUCUUAACCAUAAACUAUGCCGACUAGGGAUCGGAUGAUGUUAAUUUUUAAUGU